AUCACCCAAGAAUGGCUCAAACAUAAAUCAGUAGCUCCGAUAGAAACAUUCCCUCCUCGAUAGAUCCGAUUCCAGAAGUCUCCAAAGAGAAACCUCCUGACUCAGAGCUCCUCUCGCGUCUUUUCAGUCUACUCUGACUCCUCUUUGAGAAGCUUUGAACCACCAAACUCCUGAAAAGGUCCAAAACUUAUACCAAUAGCCAUGGUUUCCCUUUCUCAGUAGACCCGAUUCCAGAAGAAUCCAAAGAGAAACCUUUCUCUCCCUCGACUCCUUUCACCGUCUUCGUCGUCUCUUCCGACUUCUCUCCUAGAAACUCUCAACCAUUGAACCCCUAAAAGUCCCCAAUCAUAACCUCAGAAAUCAGAAACUCCCAAAUCGUAUAAGCUACCACCCUUCGACUGAGACUCCAACAUUCUUGCAAAGAAACCCUCAACUUAAACAAUAGCUGGAGAAAGUGAAUCUAAGGGGUUGAAGAGAAAAAUAAGAGUUGGUGAAGAAGGAACUUCAAAGAAGAAAUUCACUGUUUUAAACUUUUUUAUGGCUUUUAUUCGAUUGUAUGUUGUAUCUAGUUUCUUAAGUACUACAACUUGUGUUUUUGUUUUAUAAGUGCUUUAAAUAUAUUUUCAAAUGCUCAUUUUCCUAAAAUCAAGUUGUGAUGAUUAUACUAUGGCAAUCCAUUUUCCUGUUUAGUUUCUAUAUUAUGAGAUGUUAGUUUAUGUUUUUUAUAAUGAUUUUUAAACUUUUGGUAAUCUAUUUUCGUUUGUAAAUUGUUUGACGUAAACAGUCAUAUUGUUCUAUAAACAAGCCGCAGUAAAAUUGUUGAUACAGCAGUGAUACGGAAU
RNAcentral lists this long non-coding RNA (842 nucleotides) under Olea europaea subsp. europaea. The record is from RNAcentral. Lineage: Eukaryota; Viridiplantae; Streptophyta; Magnoliopsida; Lamiales; Oleaceae.